This 124-nucleotide non-coding RNA is filed under the name Paramormyrops kingsleyae. The record is from RNAcentral. Lineage: Eukaryota; Metazoa; Chordata; Actinopteri; Osteoglossiformes; Mormyridae.
UUAUUGUAUGAAAGGAGAGAAGGUUAGCACUCCCCUUGACAAGGAUGGAAGAGGUACUAGUGGCCUUCAACACACAAAUGGCUAAGGCAUUGCCACCUACUUUGUGGCUUCUCUAAGUUUUUAG